CGAGAAAACUUUGCAAUGUGCGAAAGCACGACAAGGUUAAUCCGAGUGGUUUCUGCUAAAGGAACCUUUUGUCGGUCCUAGAAACACCGAUGAAUAAGGGGUGGGCAAGUUCUGGUGUCAGCCGCCGCGGUAAAACCAGCACCUCAAGUGGUCAGGAUGAUUAUUGGGCCUAAAGCAUCCGUAGCCGGCUCUGUAAGUUUUCGGUUAAAUCUGUAUGCUCAACAUACAGGCUGCCGGGAAUACUGCAGAGCUAGGGAGUGGGAGAGGUAGACGGUACUCGGUAGGAAGGGGUAAAAUCCUUUGAUCUAUUGAUGACCACCUGUGGCGAAGGCGGUCUACCAGAACACGUCCGACGGUGAGGGAUGAAAGCUGGGGGAGCAAACCGGAUUAGAUACCCGGGUAGUCCCAGCUGUAAACUAUGCAAACUCAGUGAUGCAUUGGCUUGUGGCCAAUGCAGUGCUGCAGGG
This 467-nucleotide ribosomal RNA is filed under the name uncultured Nitrososphaerota archaeon. RNAcentral describes it as "bacterial SSU rRNA". It matches the Rfam family "Archaeal small subunit ribosomal RNA", at positions 340 to 808 of the family's 1478-position model. The record is from RNAcentral. Lineage: Archaea; Thermoproteati; Nitrososphaerota.